RNAcentral lists this small nucleolar RNA (181 nucleotides) under Leptobrachium leishanense (Leishan spiny toad). Its description in RNAcentral is "Small nucleolar RNA SNORA23 (ENSLLEG00000010307.1)". It matches the Rfam family "Small nucleolar RNA SNORA23". Rfam says of the family: The members of this family belong to the H/ACA class of snoRNAs which are thought to guide the sites of modification of uridines to pseudouridines. This family includes human snoRNA ACA23 (SNORA23) and mouse snoMBI-1. ACA23 is predicted to guide the pseudouridylation of residue U3737 and U4331 of 28S rRNA. Lineage: Eukaryota; Metazoa; Chordata; Amphibia; Anura; Megophryidae. The record is from Rfam by way of RNAcentral.
GCAGUGAUGUGUGCACGGUGUCAGUCCGUGUUUAGGGGGGCGUCCAGCUCGCGUCUUGCAUUCUGGAUGUUCCUCUCAUGCAAAGCCUGUGGCCGCAGAUAAACCUGAGAUCAUAGUACCGGUCUAGCGACGUCCGCCGGACGAUCCAAACGCUGGCCGGCCUCCGACCUCUCAGACACAG